This 253-nucleotide ribosomal RNA is filed under the name uncultured bacterium. Its description in RNAcentral is "partial 16S ribosomal RNA". It matches the Rfam family "Bacterial small subunit ribosomal RNA", at positions 524 to 776 of the family's 1533-position model. The record is from RNAcentral.
UACGUAGGGUGCAAGCGUUGUCCGGAAUUAUUGGGCGUAAAGAGCUCGUAGGCGGUUUGUCGCGUCUGCUGUGAAAACUCAGGGCUUAACCCUGAGCCUGCAGUGGGUACGGGCAGACUAGAGUGUGGUAGGGGAGAUCGGAAUUCCUGGUGUAGCGGUGGAACGCGCAGAUAUCAGGAGGAACACCGGUGGCGAAGGCGGAUCUCUGGGCCAUAACUGACGCUGAGGAGCGAAAGCAUGGGGAGCGAACAGG